AUGAUGCCGCCGCCUAACGCCGGCCGUCUCUCCGACCUCGUUCGGCGCUGCGCCGCCGCUAAGGCUCUAAUCGCCGGCGCGAAGCUCCACGCACAGGCUCUCGUUGGUGGCCACCUACCCCAGGCCACCCUCGAGACGGACCUGGUCCUGCUCUAUUGUCGCUGCGCUGCGCUCCCUAGCGCCCGCAAGGUGUUCGACGCGAUGCCUUCUCCGUCCAUGCACGCGUACAACAUCCUCCUUGCCGCCUCCCCACCCCUCUUAGCUCUCGAACUACUCUCUGGCCUCCUCGACGCCGGUUUCCGCCCUGACUGCUAUGCUGUCCCAGCGGCGCUCCGGGCGUGCGCCGAGCUCCAGGACCCGCUUCUUGGCGCCGCACUCCAUGGAUUUACCGUCCAGUUAGGAUUUCUCUCCAAUGUUGUUGUCUCCAGCGCACUUCUUGACAUGUACGCCAAAGCUGGUCUCCUGGUCAAUGCGGUGAGGGUGUUCGACGAGAUGCCUGAAAGAGACUCUGUUGUGUGGAAUUGCAUGGUUACCGCUUAUGCAAGGGCCGGGAUGACAGCUGAAACCCUUGAGCUCUUCAGAAGGGCUCAGGUGGAGGCGGUGAACAUGACGAGGGAUCUGCGGGCUGUGCCGAGCGUGCUAAAUGUCUGUGGAAAGGAAGGGGAGAUGAUGAAGGGGAGAGAAAUACAUGGUAGGAUGGUGCGAAGCCUUGCAUUCGAUUUGGAUGUCCCAAUUGGGAACACGUUGAUAGACAUGUAUGCAAAGUGCGGGCGCGUGGACGCGUCACAAGCAGUGUUUGCAGGCAUGCAGGAGAGGAAUGUGGUGAGCUGGUCGACACUGAUAUCUUGCUAUGGUGUCCAUGGAAAGGGAAAACAGGCAUUGCAUGUGUACGAGGAGAUGUUAUCUCAGAGCGUGAAGCCGAACUGUAUCACCUUCACAUCUGUCCUUUCAAGUUGCAGCCACUCAGGGCUCGUGACUGAUGGCCGGAUGAUCUUCGAGUCAAUGAGGAAGGUUCAUGGUGUAGAGCCCACUUCUGAGCACUAUGCAUGUAUGGUGGACCUCUUGGGGCGUGCUGGAGCCAUUGAAGAAGCUGUCGGGCUUAUAAAGAAGAUGCCUAUGGAACCUUGCGCUACUGCAUGGGGAGCUCUACUCUCUGCUUGCGCCAUGCAUAAUAAUGUCGAUGUUGGAGAGAUUGCAGCAUAUAGGCUGUUUGAGUUAGAAAAAGGCAAUGUCAGUAACUAUAUCACUCUCUGUGGAAUUUAUGGUGCAGUUGGUCAGUCUGAUGGUGUUGCAGGAUUAAGGUUAAGGAUGAGGGAACUUGGCAUGGUGAAGACGCCUGGUUGCAGCUGGGUUGAUGUGAAGGGAAGAGCUCAUGCCUUUUACCAAGGGAGCAUCCCAAGUUAUUUGAGGAGACGAAUGUUUUGGAUUUUAGAUCGGUUACGUAAGGAUAUGGGCAAUUGA
This 1461-nucleotide ribosomal RNA is filed under the name Triticum aestivum (bread wheat). RNAcentral's name for it is "partial small subunit ribosomal RNA". The record is from RNAcentral. Lineage: Eukaryota; Viridiplantae; Streptophyta; Magnoliopsida; Poales; Poaceae.